Molecule: long non-coding RNA, 1091 nt
Filed under: Nicotiana benthamiana
Lineage: Eukaryota; Viridiplantae; Streptophyta; Magnoliopsida; Solanales; Solanaceae
Description: long non-coding RNA (NBEN_LNC041518)
Source: RNAcentral
GAAUUUGGGUCACAUAAAUGCAUACUCUAAUUAACGAUAGAACCAACAUUUUCCAAAGUAGAAAAACAAAAAUCUUUCUCAUUAUCAGAAUGUUGCUGCAUUUAGCACUACUUUUCACAUAAACAAAGUGUCUUAUACCCUUUCGGUUAACUAUCUGUUUCAGACCUUGAGAAAAGUUAACAUUUUCAGUAACAAUAUGAAAAGAGAACAAAUAUUUAUCCAUAAUUUCAAAAGGCAGUGGAUCCAUAGAAAACUUCCAAAAUACAUAAAUAUUUACAUGACAAAGCAACAACAUGAGCUAGAUCACCGACAAACACAGUAGGAAUCAUCAAAAUAGGGUUAUUAUUAUCAUUAUUCUCAUGAGCAAGAACACUACCUGUAGUAGGGUAAUGCAUUAAUCGGAAUUAUAAUAAAGAAGACGAUGUCCAAUGCUAGAACAGGAUCGAAAGAAAGCUAUCGGACUUUGAAUUGACAACGGAACCAACAAACGGACCUCGACAAGGAAACCAGCGAAUGACAACAGUCUCAAACUCGCUGGAACUCCAGUCUGACCUUUCUGGCGACCUCAAAAAGACCUUAAACGUUGCCGGAGAAACCCGAUCUUUGCUGACGAACUUGAACUUAAAAAGUCAUUCAGCGGCUGAGGAAAUGGUUUCAGAUCAAGCUCCUAGAGGAUAAAGCUUCUUGUUUCGGUGAACUAGGAAGCUCCAAAACUCCAUGUAAAUGGUUGGGAUCGAGCUUUGGUUCUAGGUCUCUGUUAAUAAGAAGCCAUCAAUUUGGGUCUUGUGUUUAGAACCUGAAGACGAAAGCAGAACGAAGGUCAUUUUUGGUCGUCGAUGGCACUGUUUGGCUCCUAGGUCUCUCGUGUCUGUGUGUUAUGGUGUUCAGCAACUACUGAGGAAGGAGAAGAGACGUGAGGGUUCCUGUUUUAUGGCUAGGAUCGGUGUUUUCUCAUGGCUGCUGCUUCAUUUUUGUAGAAGACAUGAAGCGCAGCUUCCUCCUCUAUCCAGGCGUUUAUCUUUGAGCUUCAUGAAGAAGAAGCAACGGCCAUGGUGGACUGCUGGAUGCCUGACGGGGAAGAUGAUCGCNNN